GAGUCUGAUGGAAUAGCAAAGCUGACGAGUGUGAUCCUGGGCGGCCUGACUGUUUUCCUUGUAAUAGUCAUCAUCGGUCUGCUUGUUAAAAACAGGAAACUUCAGACAGCUCAUAAAGAAGAACAGAAUCCAGAGCAAACAGAGAAUGUGGCCUCUGAUGAGCUGAACUACGCAGCAGUGACUUUUCAACCAAAAGGAAAAAGAAGUGAGCGAGAGCCGAAUGUUAUUUAUGCUGCCACCAGAUAGACUCGGGAGACAUCUGAAACUGAUGCUGUAUCGUAU
This is a long non-coding RNA of Micropterus dolomieu (smallmouth bass), 282 nucleotides long. RefSeq lists it as uncharacterized. The record is from RefSeq and is a predicted model, not a curated record. Lineage: Eukaryota; Metazoa; Chordata; Actinopteri; Centrarchiformes; Centrarchidae. The transcript is spliced from 3 exons.